AUGGACUUCAGAGAAAUUGUCUUGAUAGCUUCCAAAGGACAAGGUGUCCACAAUGUGCCAACAAGAUAUAGUUUAGCAGUGGGACCUCCCAAGAAAGAUUCAAAAGUUAAAGGUUUUCAAUCAGCAGCUGUACAAGCUUUUCUUAGAAGAAAAGAAGAGGAAAUCAGACCUUAGAAGAGAAAAGGAGAAAAGAGGAACUAGUGGAAAAACCAAUCGAGCUCAAACAUGACAAGAAAGCGAGAGCUAUGUCUAAGAGGGCAAAGGAAAAUUUCCAUGGUUACAAUGCGAUUCCUACUGAGGAAAAGUCAAAGAAGAGGCAGUCCGUGGAAAGCCACCUCAGCCAGGCGCUAGAACAAGAGGAUGGAUUUUUAGAAUACAAUCAAGCAGAGUCAGAGCAGGAGUAUGAGAAAGAGCAAGUACCUCCCAAAGUUGAAAGCAAACCAAAGGUUCCCCUUAAAAGUGCUCCACAACCUAUGAACUUCACCAAUUUACUGAGGCUGGCUGAGAUCAAGGUAGUGAAGAAAUCAGAAGAGCAGCUUAUGACUGCAGAAGAACUUAGGGAGUGAGAAUUCUGGAAUGAAAGCAUAGGAAAAAGAAACUUGAGACAGAUGUAAAACUACCUCCAACUGUGUCCAAAAAGGCACCCUCUCAGAAAGAAAGUGUGGGCACAAAACUUAGCAAAUGUUCUGGAGAUAGGCAUCCUUCCUGUAGAGGAAUGUCCUUUCCUCAUACUGAGAAGAAAUCCGAACCCAGAACAGCCCAUGAGAAACACUUAUCAGUGUCUUCAUCCAAAUCCAUGCCAGGAGAGAGGACCAAGGCAGGACCUGGCUAUAGUUCCCACCCCUCACUUUGUGAGGGUCAUGUCAGACCUGUUUUCAAUGGAGCUAUAAAGCCCCACUCUUGCACCUAUUCACCAAGUGUCCCAAAGACUUCUGCCAGUGGGACUCAGAAAUCUGCUACUGAGCACAAAGCCAAAACUUUUCAUCCUAGCCAUUCCAAGCCUGGGCCCACAGUCACCCCCACACAAUAAGGCUAAGAGUCCAGGUGCCAGGCAGCUAGGCAGCAACUCCCAACUCAGCCCCUGGGAGACCCAGCCCAGGGACUGCUCGGUCCAUACUUAAUUCUGGCCUUGUGCCUAGAUGCCAGAAUGGGAGCGCCAGCUCAGGACCUGAGCGCUCGGUCAGUGGGAUCAAGAAGCUAGUCAGUGACUCAGAUCCUUCUGGGCGGACAGUAACUGAUACAAAUGACCCUGGACCACCUGCUAAGUAGUUCCAGUGGCCCGGGUGACUCAUCAGUGUCUCAGGUAGUUCUGGGAGACUUGUAGGCAGCUCUGGAGGCCCUAAGCAGCCUACCAGCAGUCCACAUGACCUUUGACAACUGGUGACUGGCUCAGGACCCCUUGGACAAUCAGUCAGUGGGCUUGGACGAUUCAUAAGGGGCUCCAUUCCAGCUGGACACACUAGUUCAGGCCCUGGAAGACCAGUAAGUGGCUGAGGACCUGGGUGAACAGUUAGUAGCCCAGGUCCCCUUUAAAGUCCAAGUGUAAUGUUGUCUCAGAAAUAGUAUCUUCCAAGAAUAUUAUUAGUCGAACCAGCAAUGGACAGGUAAAUGGAAUGAAACCUCCUCUCUCUGGCUACAGAUCCGCCCAAGCUCCUCAAAGACUUCCUUUCCCUACUAGUUAUAAAAGGCAGUGAGGAUAUGAGGAGGAAGAUGAUGAUGAUGAUGAUGAAUAUGACUCUGAAAUGGAUGAUUUCAUUGAAGAUGAAGGAGAACCUUAGGAAGAAAUAUCCAAGCAUAUUCUAGAAAUCUUUGGCUAUGACUGAAAAAAACACAAAGAUGAAAGUGAUUAUGCCUUAUGUUACAUGGAGAGUAGUUGGAAAGAGCAGCAGAAUGAAGAAGCAAAGAGUUUAAGACUAGGUAUUCAGGAGGACUUAGAGGAAAUGAGACGUGAAGAAGAAGAAAUGUAGAAAAGCAAAGAAGCUAAAGAGAUUAGCUGCUGCUUUACUUUUGAGAAAUUCUGGAAACACUGCUGCAAGGAGUUUCUGCCUUCAGACUGAAUAA
This is a non-coding RNA of Marmota flaviventris (yellow-bellied marmot), 2061 nucleotides long. The record is from RefSeq and is a predicted model, not a curated record. NCBI's taxonomy places the organism in Eukaryota, Metazoa, Chordata, Mammalia, Rodentia, Sciuridae.